Molecule: ribosomal RNA, 797 nt
Filed under: uncultured Actinomycetes bacterium
Lineage: Bacteria; Bacillati; Actinomycetota; Actinomycetes
Description: bacterial SSU rRNA
Rfam family: Bacterial small subunit ribosomal RNA
Source: RNAcentral
GAAAGGCCUGCAGCUUGCUGCGGGUACUCGAGUGGCGAACGGGUGAGUAACACGUGGGUGAUCUGCCUUGCACUUCGGGAUAAGCUUGGGAAACUGGGUCUAAUACCGGAUAGGACAGCUGUUUAGUGUCAGUUGUGGAAAGUUUUUUCGGUGCAAGAUGAGCUCGCGGCCUAUCAGCUUGUUGGUGGGGUAAUGGCCUACCAAGGCGUCGACGGGUAGCCGGCCUGAGAGGGUGUACGGCCACAUUGGGACUGAGAUACGGCCCAGACUCCUACGGGAGGCAGCAGUGGGGAAUAUUGCACAAUGGGCGGAAGCCUGAUGCAGCGACGCCGCGUGGGGGAUGAAGGCCUUCGGGUUGUAAACUCCUUUCGACAGGGACGAAGCGUAAGUGACGGUACCUGUAUAAGAAGCACCGGCUAACUACGUGCCAGCAGCCGCGGUAAUACGUAGGGUGCGAGCGUUGUCCGGAAUUACUGGGCGUAAAGAGCUCGUAGGUGGUUUGUCGCGUCGUCUGUGAAAUUCCGGGGCUUAACUCCGGGCGUGCAGGCGAUACGGGCUGACUUGAGUGCUGUAGGGGAGACUGGAAUUCCUGGUGUAGCGGUGAAAUGCGCAGAUAUCAGGAGGAACACCGAUGGCGAAGGCAGGUCUCUGGGCAGUAACUGACGCUGAGGAGCGAAAGCAUGGGUAGCGAACAGGAUUAGAUACCCUGGUAGUCCAUGCCGUAAACGGUGGGCGCUAGGUGUAGGGGGCUUCCACGUCUUCUGUGCCGUAGCUAACGCAUUAAGCGCCCCGCCUGG